Molecule: long non-coding RNA, 1268 nt
Organism: Dermacentor silvarum
Lineage: Eukaryota; Metazoa; Arthropoda; Arachnida; Ixodida; Ixodidae
Exons: 3
Source: RefSeq, a predicted model, not a curated record
GCGGCCAAGUGCAAGGUUAAGUGUUUUUUCCAGGGUAAUACAUUAAGAACAUUCUAAACAUGCCUACAUUACCGUAAAGUAAUGAAGGGCUAACAUUAUGUGACAAAACCAUUUAUUUAGCACCUCAGCUGAACUGAGCAAUGUGAAAAUUAAUGCAACAAAAUAUUAGCUAUACAAUUCCCUACAUACCCAAGCUUUAUUAUUGCUGUGCAACAGGUUAACCAUAGGAAUUUGUCCAACAUAGGUGACUUAAAUACUUGUUUACCUUUAAAACAAAGUAUCUUUUCAGAAACUUCACUACACGUUUAGACAACAGAGGCCUUAGGAAUGCUGCACCUUACCCUAUCAAACACAAGUUGCACAGGCUUGAUUGGAAUGUUUACGUACAAGUCUCAUCCUGUUGAUAUUAUGCAGUUUACUGUGAAAAUAGGAACAUGCCCAUCUAAAUUAUGCACUCCCUAUAGAUUUGCCCAAGAAAUACUUUCUGGAUGCUAGAGAUAUACUCAAAUUAUAACCAAACAUUAUCAUGUGAUGUCUGCAGCUCAGGUGUCCACCACUUAUUCUGUAUUACACAGAACUGACCUUAAAAACUUGAUUUAAAAAAAACUUGUUUAAAAAAACCCGAUCCCCACAUACUACACACAGAGAAUAAAGAAAGAAGGGACAACACACCGCACUCAUGCACAAAUGUGUAGUCGGUGUAACCACCAGGUAUGAUAUUUUCCCCGUGCAGUGCAAGCUCAGGAUAUUACGUCUGCUUCUGAUGCACUGUGGAAUACCUGUUAUAGUGUACAAGAACACUGGGAAGUAUGCCGUCUGCGGCGUGACAGAAUCAAGCCAUGAGGGCCACUUCAGCAAUGAUAGUUGCAGCAUACGUUCCAAAGAGAUCAAUGGAAGAAUCACCGAGAUCCCUCAUGAUUGGCCACUGCUAAUAAAUGAUGCUGGCACUACUGUACAUACUUGUGCCAAAGGCUGAACUUGGCAAGUUUCAAGAACCUUUACUGCACCACAAUAGCCCAAAUACAAGAAAAUGCACCAAAAUCCAUGUCGUCACACUGAUGUACCAGCAUAGGGUUUCGGCUCAAAAUUCAAGAAAUGGAAGCUUGGCCUUCAUUUUCGUUUUUAAUAAUCAACCUCUCACCAUGAAAUUAACAAAAAUAGUGUUUUGAAAUAAUAUUUUAUCAGUCUAGACCAAUUUGAUGUUUCACUUUAAUUAUGUCCCUUUAAUACAGUACCUGGACCGUGACACUUGAACAGCUUGGUCUGGC